UGCAAAUGUUUUAGCUCCGC
Molecule: non-coding RNA, 20 nt
Filed under: Arabidopsis thaliana (thale cress)
Lineage: Eukaryota; Viridiplantae; Streptophyta; Magnoliopsida; Brassicales; Brassicaceae
Source: RNAcentral